This is a small nucleolar RNA of Tachyglossus aculeatus (Australian echidna), 138 nucleotides long. Lineage: Eukaryota; Metazoa; Chordata; Mammalia; Monotremata; Tachyglossidae. The record is from RefSeq and is a predicted model, not a curated record.
UCCCUCUCAGGGUCAUGCCUGGAGAGUUUCCAGUACUCUCCCAGUCUUGAUUUCAGGAGGGAGAGUCAAGCAGAGGCCUACCCAUCCCAUUCCUAGCUUGGCCAGUGGCUUGUGAGUGGAAGGCAAUCUGCUACAAGU